RNAcentral lists this ribosomal RNA (428 nucleotides) under uncultured bacterium. RNAcentral describes it as "bacterial SSU rRNA". It matches the Rfam family "Bacterial small subunit ribosomal RNA", at positions 355 to 776 of the family's 1533-position model. The record is from RNAcentral.
UUUCGAAUCAUUCACAAUGGGCGAAAGCCUGAUGGUGCGACGCCGCGUGAGGGAUGAAGGCCUUCGGGUCGUAAACCUCUGUCACCGGGGAAGAAACGCUUCAAGUUAAUAGCUUGAAGCCUGACUUAACCCGGAGAGGAAGCAGUGGCUAACUCUGUGCCAGCAGCCGCGGUAAUACAGAGACUGCAAGCGUUAUUCGGAUUCACUGGGCGUAAAGGGUGCGCAGGUGGCCGUGUGUGUGAGGCGUGAAAGCCUGGGGCUUAACCCCAGAAUUGCACCUCAAACUACAUGGCUAGAGCAUUGGAGAGGGAAGUAGAAUUCACGGUGUAGCAGUGAAAUGCGUAGAUAUCGUGAGGAAUACCAGAGGCGAAGGCGACUUCCUGGACAAUUGCUGACACUCAGGCACGAAAGCGUGGGGAGCAAAAGGG